CGUGGGAGGCCGGAUCCUGGGCUGUGUCCCCGGCGCCCUGUGCUCCCAGGUCUGCGCUGUUGGAUUUGCGCUCCCGGUCGGGCAGCCCCCU
Molecule: microRNA precursor, 91 nt
Filed under: Canis lupus familiaris (dog)
Lineage: Eukaryota; Metazoa; Chordata; Mammalia; Carnivora; Canidae
Description: mir-8799 microRNA precursor family
Rfam family: mir-8799 microRNA precursor family
Source: Rfam by way of RNAcentral